This is an unclassified non-coding RNA of Mustela putorius furo (domestic ferret), 332 nucleotides long. Its record names the gene 7SK. It matches the Rfam family "7SK RNA". Rfam says of the family: 7SK was discovered as an abundant small nuclear RNA in the mid-70s but a possible function has only recently been suggested. The record is from Ensembl. NCBI's taxonomy places the organism in Eukaryota, Metazoa, Chordata, Mammalia, Carnivora, Mustelidae.
GGAUGUGAGGGUAACCUGGAAGCAAUAUCUGUUACCCCUUUGAUCCCCAGGGUUGAUUCGGCUGAUCUGUCUGGCUAGGCAAGAGUCCCCUUCCUCCCUCACCAUUCCAUGUGCAUCCCUCUCAAAGCUGCACAGCUGGUCCAGGAGGACAACCUUCCUCAACAGAGGAGGACCAUUCUUCAGUCAAGGGUAUCUGGCAGCUGUGCUCCCCUCUAGAACCUCCACACAAGCUCUCAAAGUCCAUUGAUAGGAAAACACAGAGUAGCCAAGUUUCCACACUCAUUCCAGACUCAUUCAAAUGGGGCAUUGCAGGUAACACUUUGCCUUUCUUA